RNAcentral lists this ribosomal RNA (274 nucleotides) under uncultured bacterium. RNAcentral's name for it is "partial 16S ribosomal RNA". It matches the Rfam family "Bacterial small subunit ribosomal RNA", at positions 523 to 796 of the family's 1533-position model. The record is from RNAcentral.
AUACGGAGGUUGCAAGCGUUACUCGGAAUCACUGGGCGUAAAGGACGCGUAGGCGGAUUGGAAAGUCAGAUGUGAAAUCCUACAGCUUAACUGUAGAACUGCAUUUGAAACUUCUAAUCUAGAGUAUGGGAGGGGGAGAUGGAAUUAGUGGUGUAGGGGCAAAAUCCGUAGAUAUCACGAGGAAUACCGAAAGCGAAGGCGAUCUCCUGGAACAUAACUGACGCUAAGGCGUGAAAGCGUGGGGAGCAAACGGGAUUAGAAACCCUAGUAGUCC